RNAcentral lists this ribosomal RNA (575 nucleotides) under uncultured bacterium. RNAcentral's name for it is "partial 16S ribosomal RNA". It matches the Rfam family "Bacterial small subunit ribosomal RNA", at positions 357 to 923 of the family's 1533-position model. The record is from RNAcentral.
UGGGAAUUUGGACAAUGGGCGAAAGCCUGAUCCAGCAAUGCCGCGUGUGUGAAGAAGGCCUUCGGGUUGUAAAGCACUUUUGUCCGGAAAGAAAUCCUUGGCUCUAAUACAGUCGGGGGAUGACGGUACCGGAAGAAUAAGCACCGGCUAACUACGUGCCAGCAGCCGCGGUAAUACGUAGGGUGCAAGCGUUAAUCGGAAUUACUGGGCGUAAAGCGUGCGCAGGCGGUUUGCUAAGACCGAUGUGAAAUCCCCGGGCUCAACCUGGGAACUGCAUUGGUGACUGGCAGGCUAGAGUAUGGCAGAGGGGGGUAGAAUUCCACGUGUAGCAGUGAAAUGCGUAGAGAUGUGGAGGAAUACCGAUGGCGAAGGCAGCCCCCUGGGCCAAUACUGACGCUCAUGCACGAAAGCGUGGGGAGCAAACAGGAUUAGAUACCCUGGUAGUCCACGCCCUAAACGAUGUCAACUAGUUGUUGGGGACUUCAUUUUCCUUAGUAACGUAGCUAACGCGUGAAGUUGACCGCCUGGGGAGUACGGUCGCAAGAUUAAAACUCAAAUGAAUUGACGGGGUCAUA